RNAcentral lists this long non-coding RNA (799 nucleotides) under Felis catus (domestic cat). RNAcentral describes it as "lncRNA (ENSFCAG00000053658.1)". Lineage: Eukaryota; Metazoa; Chordata; Mammalia; Carnivora; Felidae. The record is from RNAcentral.
UGGGGGGUGGUGGCGGGGGCGGGGGGUGGGGAGCGAGCAUUAAUCAAAACAUCGAAGUGAGCCCCACCAUGCCUACGUGUACAAAUAGCUGUUGAUGGCUUUGCCAUGCUUACUGAACUGAGUAAGUCUAAAAGCCUUCCGUGUGCAUUCCUAUUUUCGGGCGCAAUACAGUACGUUAACCUCAGAAUAUCAAAUUGAAUCAGGGGUUCUGAGAAGAGCCGCCUGCAAAGCGGUUAGAAUGACACUCCUCAUUACACCGUCCAGAUUCAGGUUUCAGACAACCAUAACCAGCCUUUGCCGGCUUCUCACCUACAGGCAGACCCAGGCAGCCCCAAAUCAGAGCCUGCCCUCCGGCAAGGGCUCCCGGACCUCUUCACAGGUGAAGUCCACCGAGACCCGGAAAGACUUGGAGAGUCUCACCCAACUGCUGCAGGUGGGGCCGUCUUCCUGGGCUGCCACGGUGAUUACCCGAUGCUAAGAGUGGAUUCAUCCAACCUCAGAACUCUUAUGCGUCCCACGUCUCCAAAGAAUCAAGUCAACCCGAUUCUCAAGAUGAUUGAUCAGCGCACCGGGCCCAUACAGAGAUGAAUGGUGUCUGAUCCCCAGUGAGAGCAUUUCACAAAUAGAAGCUAUGUUCUCCUCUGUCUUGAGCCAGCAAUGGAUUGAAGCUGAGAGUUGGUGGAGGAAGUAACACAGAGAAAAAGUAGGAAGGAAAAAAUUCAUCUUGCCUCUAGAUUUGCCAGAACGCCAGUUACUCUAUGCCAGCUGUCUGGAGUAUACAACAUGUUCACUUAAACUC